GUCUACGAAUAUGCCGCGGUGAAUACACGGCAUUCCGUCUGAUCCGCAAAGUCAAGCACCAUUGGGCUGGGUUAGGACUUAGAUCAGAAACGUCGUAAGACCGCAUCAUUAGUGCCUU
This 118-nucleotide ribosomal RNA is filed under the name Soboliphyme baturini. Lineage: Eukaryota; Metazoa; Nematoda; Enoplea; Dioctophymatida; Soboliphymatidae. The record is from RNAcentral.